AAGUCGUAACAAGGUAACCGUAGGUGAACCUGCGGUUGGAUCAUUAUAGAAAAUGAUUUUAUUAUUGAGGGAUCAACUGUAAAAAGUUGUAUCACUCUUUACCCCAAAACCAUGUGAAUUUGUAUAUUUUUUUUUCUUGAAGGAAAAGAAAAGUGGUGCACGAUAAAAAGUGUAAUUUUUUUCUUUUUCCUUUAAAAAAAUCUUUUUAUAAACAUUUUAUUUCAACCUUUUUUUUUUUAUAAAAAAACAUAAAAAAAAACAACUUUUGACAAUGGAUCUCUUGGCUCUC
RNAcentral lists this unclassified non-coding RNA (289 nucleotides) under fungal sp. RNAcentral describes it as "partial internal transcribed spacer region". The stretch from base 1 to 46 matches the Rfam family "Eukaryotic small subunit ribosomal RNA", at positions 1786 to 1831 of the family's 1831-position model. Lineage: Eukaryota; Fungi. The record is from RNAcentral.